ACUACGGGUGGCAGCAGUGAGGAAUAUUGGUCAAUGGGCGCGAGCCUGAACCAGCCAAGUAGCGUGAAGGAUGACUGCCCUACGGGUUGUCAACUUCUUUUAUAAAGGAAUAAAGUUUGGCACGUGUGCCUUUUUGUAUGUACUUUAUGAAUAAGGAUCGGCUAACUCCGCGCCAGCAGCCGCGGUAAUACGGGGGAUCCGAGAGUUAUCCGGAUUGAUUGGGUUUAAAGGGAACGUAGAUGGGUUGUUAAGUCAGUUGUGAAAGUUUGCGGCUCAACCGUAAAAUUGCAAUUGAUACUGGCAGCCUUGAGUACAGUUGAGGUAGGCGGAAUUCGUGGUGUAGCGGUGAAAUGCUUAGAGAUCACGAAGAACUCCGAUUGCGAAGGCAGCUUACUAAACUGCCACUGACAUUGAUGCUCGAAAGUGUGGGUAGCAAACAGGAUUAGAUACCCCUGUAGUC
This 460-nucleotide ribosomal RNA is filed under the name uncultured bacterium. RNAcentral's name for it is "partial 16S ribosomal RNA". It matches the Rfam family "Bacterial small subunit ribosomal RNA", at positions 338 to 795 of the family's 1533-position model. The record is from RNAcentral.